This is a long non-coding RNA of Pan troglodytes (chimpanzee), 211 nucleotides long. RefSeq lists it as uncharacterized. The transcript has 2 exons. Lineage: Eukaryota; Metazoa; Chordata; Mammalia; Primates; Hominidae. The record is from RefSeq and is a predicted model, not a curated record.
AUGCAAAGGAUACAAUUUAGCAAUAUUUAUCAAAAACCUAUAGUAUUUACUGUUGAACCCAGAAAUAUCGCUUCUGAGAAUUUAUCAUAAAGAAAAAUGGAGUCAAUUAUGCAGAAAAUACUUCAAAAGAGAAGUCAAGGCACACCCUUCCCCUUUAAGCCAAAAAAAGCAUGACCAUAAAAAGAAACAAACCUCUGUCAGACGAAUCAAA